Molecule: ribosomal RNA, 464 nt
Filed under: uncultured bacterium
Lineage: Bacteria
Description: partial 16S ribosomal RNA
Rfam family: Bacterial small subunit ribosomal RNA
Source: RNAcentral
GACGAACGCUGGCGGCGUGCUUAACACAUGCAAGUCGAACGGAAAGGCCCAGCUUGCUGGGUGCUCGAGUGGCGAACGGGUGAGUAACACGUGGGUGAUCUGCCUCUAACUUCGGGAUAAGCUUGGGAAACUGGGUCUAAUGCCGGAUAGGACAAUCGUUUAGUGUCGGUUGUGGAAAGUUUUUUCGGUUAGGGAUGAGCCCGCGGCCUAUCAGCUUGUUGGUGGGAUAAUGGCCUACCAAGGCGUCGACGGGUAGCCGGCCUGAGAGGGUGGACGGCCACAUUGGGACUGAGAUACGGCCCAGACUCCUACGGGAGGCAGCAGUGGGGAAUAUUGCACAAUGGGCGCAAGCCUGAUGCAGCGACGCCGCGUGGGGGAUGACGGCCUUCGGGUUGUAAACCUCUUUCGACAGGGACGAAGCUUUGGUGACGGUACCUGUAUAAGAAGCACCGGCUAACUACGUG